RNAcentral lists this ribosomal RNA (783 nucleotides) under Escherichia coli. Its description in RNAcentral is "partial 23S ribosomal RNA". It matches the Rfam family "Bacterial large subunit ribosomal RNA", at positions 456 to 1239 of the family's 2925-position model. The record is from RNAcentral. Lineage: Bacteria; Pseudomonadati; Pseudomonadota; Gammaproteobacteria; Enterobacterales; Enterobacteriaceae.
UCCUCCAAGGCUAAAUACUCCUGACUGACCGAUAGUGAACCAGUACCGUGAGGGAAAGGCGAAAAGAACCCCGGCGAGGGGAGUGAAAAAGAACCUGAAACCGUGUACGUACAAGCAGUGGGAGCACGCUCAGGCGUGUGACUGCGUACCUUUUGUAUAAUGGGUCAGCGACUUAUAUUCUGUAGCAAGGUUAACCGAAUAGGGGAGCCGAAGGGAAACCGAGUCUUAACUGGGCGUUAAGUUGCAGGGUAUAGACCCGAAACCCGGUGAUCUAGCCAUGGGCAGGUUGAAGGUUGGGUAACACUAACUGGAGGACCGAACCGACUAAUGUUGAAAAAUUAGCGGAUGACUUGUGGCUGGGGGUGAAAGGCCAAUCAAACCGGGAGAUAGCUGGUUCUCCCCGAAAGCUAUUUAGGUAGCGCCUCGUGAAUUCAUCUCCGGGGGUAGAGCACUGUUUCGGCAAGGGGGUCAUCCCGACUUACCAACCCGAUGCAAACUGCGAAUACCGGAGAAUGUUAUCACGGGAGACACACGGCGGGUGCUAACGUCCGUCGUGAAGAGGGAAACAACCCAGACCGCCAGCUAAGGUCCCAAAGUCAUGGUUAAGUGGGAAACGAUGUGGGAAGGCCCAGACAGCCAGGAUGUUGGCUUAGAAGCAGCCAUCAUUUAAAGAAAGCGUAAUAGCUCACUGGUCGAGUCGGCCUGCGCGGAAGAUGUAACGGGGCUAAACCAUGCACCGAAGCUGCGGCAGCGACGCUUAUGCGUUGUUGGGUAGGGGAGCGU